Molecule: ribosomal RNA, 305 nt
Filed under: uncultured bacterium
Lineage: Bacteria
Description: bacterial SSU rRNA
Rfam family: Bacterial small subunit ribosomal RNA
Source: RNAcentral
UUAUCCUACGGGACGCAGCAGUCGGGAAUAUUGCGCAAUGGAGGAAACUCUGACGCAGUGACGCCGCGUAUAGGAAGAAGGUCUUCGGAUUGUAAACUAUUGUCGUUAGGGAAGAAAAAGGACAGUACCUAAGGAGGAAGCUCCGGCUAACUACGUGCCAGCAGCCGCGGUAAUACGUAGGGAGCAAGCGUUAUCCGGAUUUAUUGGGUGUAAAGGGUGCGUAGACGGGAUAAUAAGUUAGUUGUGAAAUCCCUCGGCUCAACUGAGGAACUGCAACUAAAACUGUUAUUCUUGAGUGUUGGAGA